GAUCACUUCACACGUCUAAACCAAUGAAACUCUCUGUUGGUUAGAAAAAUAUGAAACCUAUAAUUUCAUUGAAAAUUCAUUCAUAUAAACUACAAACAGAUUUAUAACAAUGGAAGCCAAUGGCUGUACAUUUUCUUUUAGGUCCCUCUAAUCAAGCGAAGCACAAAUUCAUACUACAAAUUAGCUUGGGCAAAUCCAUCAAAACUUUCAAUGACAAUAGUAUGAUGCCUUGUUUUCUACUUUUUCGGCUAUCGCUGGGUAAAGCCCUGCAUUGAUUGGUGCUACAACGCCACAUGCAAGAAGAAACACAACAAAUAAAUAAAUCAGUAAUCUACUAUAGAAGAAAAAAAAUCCACUUAGAAUCAUGAGAAUUUUGUGUUCUUUGGGGCACACACAAAAUGAGUUAAAGGGAACGCGUGCAGCAAUAUUCCAAAUUCAGGAAGAGCUGCCAUGACCUUGUUACGUUUAAGAUUUUUCUUUCUGAUCAGCUGGGGAUGUAGUGUAUAAUAAGUUGAUAUACACUACAUCCCCAGCUGAUCAGAAAGAAAAAUUACAGUCUCAUUGGCAUGUUGUCAGUCUAAGGAAAUCUCUGACAGUUGUAAAGACUUGAUAUUAUUAAAAUUACAGUAUUAUUAACAUGUUGUCAGACAUACCUGUAGUGUUCAGCUGAACGGUACUAUACUGACUUAAAAGGUUAACCAAACAGAAAGUUAUUAUAACUGUAGUAAUACCUACACCCCGAAUAGAAAAGAUGGUAAAUUAGUGUACUAAUCUUGAAAGCACCUUUGGCAACGUAAUCAAAUCCAACAUCUCAGCAUCUAUAGGGAAUGCAAAAUGCUCAUGGAAUAGAAAAACAGAGCACCCCUUUGCAGAAAUAAGGCACAUGUUUCCUUACCUGUAGGCAAAAUGCAAUAUAUUGUUUGUUUCCUGCAGGUCCUUAGCAGACUGUAAAACAAAAUAAGAAGCCAUGUUAGAUGGUAUGUGAAAGCGGAUACAUGAAUGGUACUAACACGAUAUAUUGUCUGCCCACAGCAAGUUAUCAAGCAAGAUCAUCAAAUAUUUCUUUGCAGACCAGAUGUGAGUGUUGUCAGCAUUCUCGGGGGAAUUACCUACAACCAAGCUGGAAUACAAGGACUGACUAAGAAAUACUCACAUCACUCGAACUAAAAUCCCGUGCACAAAAUUUGAGAUGUCCAAUACUACUCUAUAAUGUAGCAUCGGACUCAUAUUCUCUGAAAUAGAUAUUAAAUAUAUGAUAACAUAAACAACAAUCCAAGAGAACUUAUUUUGAAGGUUAUAAGAGCAUAAGUAACAGCCUCAGAAAAAACAUGAUGUUAGUCCUUGCCUUAAUUCAGAUUGUUUGCUAUAACAAAAAGGAGCAAAGGUUCAGAAGAAGAAGGUAGAUUGAUUGGCUCAAAGUAGCAUACUAGUGAGGCAGUGUAUCCAUCCAUGUAGGACAAAUCCAUCUAUCUAGCAGUUUGAUCUACUACUCAUGAUGCGGUAGGACAGAGUGAAUACUCCGAACCGACUUAAACUUGUUUUAGACAAUUCUUACUGUCAAGAUGGGGAAAUAAAUAAUACCUCUAUCAGUGACUUUCGAGCAUCUUUUAGCUCCCUCUUCUGUCCUAUAUUUGCAGACAAUAGUGCAAUGCUCAUAAUUUGCCUGCAUCAGAAAGGGAACAACUACAAAUAUAAUUAUAGGGCAAUACAACAUAUCUUUAAAUAAAAGAAAACAGAUGAUUGUUUUAGCCGCCAAGAUACAGGCAAUGCGCGAGCGGCGCUGUCCGGGCUUGCCUCCUCAAGCCAUCCCCGCCCUGCACCGUCUGCUCCAUUAGCAUCUCCCUACCACCAGAGCGAAACCCCAACUACAGGUGCGUGCAUUACGGCUACAAUUUUUGUUAACAAAUUUCAGCUUCAAUCAACAUGAGUUGAUUCAUUCAGCUAUCCCGUGAACUGAAAAAACCCCAGAUUAGUCACCAACACAUAUCCUGUAAUAAUACCAGCCGUGAAUUUAAAGUAUGGCGAGAAAGAUUACCCUAGUUGGUGGAGCAGAAGCCAAAGGAUGGCGACGAAGAUGCGGGGAAGGCGGUGGUGGGAGUGACGGCUUGCGGUGGCGGCCCGGAGUUGGGCGUCGGGCGCCAUGGCCUACACGCCAACAUUGCAAGGCGCACGCUGUGGCAGCUGUGGAGGGAGGGGUGGAGGGGGCUCGAGAGCGGGGUCCUCGAGCAGCAGCGCCGCCGUUCGUGGAUCGGCUCUACCCGGAUCCCGCUCCUCCGGUUGCUGGGAUCGACCGGAUGGACUCGAUCCCAUCCCUCAACUCAG
This 2322-nucleotide long non-coding RNA is filed under the name Triticum aestivum (bread wheat). RNAcentral describes it as "long non-coding RNA (TAES_LNC026608)". Lineage: Eukaryota; Viridiplantae; Streptophyta; Magnoliopsida; Poales; Poaceae. The record is from RNAcentral.